UACAGAGGGGGCAAGCGUUGUCCGGAAUUACUGGGCGUACAGCGCGCGCAGGCGGUCAUGGACGUGCCGUGUGACAGACGUCGGCUCAACCGACGUAGGCCAGGGUACACGACAUGACUGGAGACAGAGAGAGGAAUGUGGAAUACCCGGUGGAGCGGUGAAAUGCGUAGAGAUCGGGUGGAACACCAGGGGCGAAGGCGGCAUUCUGGCUCUGGUCUGACGCUGAGGCGCGAGAGCGUGGGGAGCAAACCGG
This 253-nucleotide ribosomal RNA is filed under the name uncultured Acidobacteriota bacterium. Its description in RNAcentral is "uncultured Acidobacteria bacterium partial 16S ribosomal RNA". It matches the Rfam family "Bacterial small subunit ribosomal RNA", at positions 524 to 776 of the family's 1533-position model. The record is from RNAcentral. Lineage: Bacteria; Pseudomonadati; Acidobacteriota.